GAUGAACGCUGGCGGCGUGCCUAAUACAUGCAAGUCGAGCGGACGGACGAGAAGCUUGCUUCUCUGAUGUUAGCGGCGGACGGGUGAGUAACACGUGGAUAACCUACCUAUAAGACUGGGAUAACUUCGGGAAACCGGAGCUAAUACCGGAUAAUAUUUUGAACCGCAUGGUUCAAAAGUGAAAGAUGGUCUUGCUGUCACUUAUAGAUGGAUCCGCGCUGCAUUAGCUAGUUGGUAAGGUAACGGCUUACCAAGGCAACGAUGCAUAGCCGACCUGAGAGGGUGAUCGGCCACACUGGAACUGAGACACGGUCCAGACUCCUACGGGAGGCAGCAGUAGGGAAUCUUCCGCAAUGGGCGAAAGCCUGACGGAGCAACGCCGAGUGAGUGAUGAAGGUCUUCGGAUCGUAAAACUCUGUUAUUAGGGAAGAACAUAUGUGUAAGUAACUGUGCACAUCUUGACGGUACCUAAUCAGAAAGCCACGGCUAACUACGUG
Molecule: ribosomal RNA, 497 nt
Filed under: uncultured bacterium
Lineage: Bacteria
Description: partial 16S ribosomal RNA
Rfam family: Bacterial small subunit ribosomal RNA
Source: RNAcentral